Molecule: ribosomal RNA, 308 nt
Filed under: uncultured bacterium
Lineage: Bacteria
Description: partial 16S ribosomal RNA
Rfam family: Bacterial small subunit ribosomal RNA
Source: RNAcentral
GAGACAGCAGUCGCCACGGUAAUACGUAGGGUGCAAGCGUUAAUCGGAAUUACUGGGCGUAAAGCGUGCGCAGGCGGUUUUGUAAGACAGAGGUGAAAUCCCCGGGCUCAACCUGGGAACUGCCUUUGUGACUGCAAGGCUAGAGUACGGCAGAGGGGGAUGGAAUUCCGCGUGUAGCAGUGAAAUGCGUAGAUAUGCGGAGGAACACCGAUGGCGAAGGCAAUCCCCUGGGCCUGUACUGACGCUCAUGCACGAAAGCGUGGGGAGCAAACAGGAUUAGAGACCCCCGUAGUCCCUGUCUCUUAUAA